Hibiscus syriacus is the source of this 232-nucleotide long non-coding RNA. RefSeq lists it as uncharacterized. The transcript has 3 exons. Lineage: Eukaryota; Viridiplantae; Streptophyta; Magnoliopsida; Malvales; Malvaceae. The record is from RefSeq and is a predicted model, not a curated record.
CAUUCAUUGCUUUACACAGUUUACAGCCAUGGUUUCUCACCUACUCAACACUAUCCGUAAUGUAGUUGGGGUCACAGGGAACGUUAUAUCACUCUUCCUCUUCUUGUCUCCUGUGCCAACUUUUGCUCAAAUUUGGAAGAAAAAUUCAGUGGAGCAGUUCUCGCCAGCCCCGUAUCUAGCAACCUUAAUAAACUGCAUGGUUUGGGUCAUUUACGGGCUGCCUAUGGUUCAC